AUUGAACGCUGGCGGCAGGCCUAACACAUGCAAGUCGAACGGUAGCACAGAGAGCUUGCUCUCGGGUGACGAGUGGCGGACGGGUGAGUAAUGUCUGGGAAACUGCCCGAUGGAGGGGGAUAACUACUGGAAACGGUAGCUAAUACCGCAUAACGUCGACAGACAAAAGUGGGGGACCUUCGGGCCUCACACCAUCGGAUGUGCCAAGAUGGGGUUAGCUAGUAGGUGGGGUAAUGGCUCACCUAGGCGACGAUCCCUAGCUGGUCUGAGAGGAUGACCAGCCACCCGGGAACUGAGACACGGUCCAGACUCCUACGGGAGGCAGCAGUGGGGAAUAUUGCACAAUGGGCGCAAGCCUGAUGCAGCCAUGCCGCGUGUAUGAAGAAGGCCUUCGGGUUGUAAAGUACUUUCAGCGGGGAGGAAGGCGGUGAAGUUAAUAACUUCACCGAUUGACGUUACCCGCAGAAGAAGCACCGGCUAACUCCGUGCCAGCCGCCGCCGUAA
RNAcentral lists this ribosomal RNA (504 nucleotides) under uncultured bacterium. RNAcentral describes it as "partial 16S ribosomal RNA". It matches the Rfam family "Bacterial small subunit ribosomal RNA", at positions 30 to 523 of the family's 1533-position model. The record is from RNAcentral.